GCCAGACUCCUACGGGAGGCAGCAGUGAGGAAUAUUGGUCAAUGGGCGGGAGCCUGAACCAGCCAAGUCGCGUGAGGGAAGACGGUCCUAUGGAUUGUAAACCUCUUUUGUCGGGGAGCAAAGAGGCCACGUGUGGUCAAAAGCGAGAGUACCCGAAGAAAAAGCAUCGGCUAACUCCGUGCCAGCAGCCGCGGUAAUACGGAGGAUGCGAGCGUUAUCCGGAUUUAUUGGGUUUAAAGGGUGCGUAGGCGGGAUGCCAAGUCAGGGGUCAAAUACGGGGGCUCAACCUGCGUCCGCCGUUGAAACUGGCGUUCUUGAGUGGGCGAGAAGUACGCGGAAUGCGUGGUGUAGCGGUGAAAUGCAUAGAUAUCACGCAGAACCCCGAUUGCGAAGGCAGCGUACCGGCGCCCGACUGACGCUGAAGCACGAAAGCGUGGGUAUCGAACAGGAUUAGAUACCCCUGUAGC
Molecule: ribosomal RNA, 467 nt
Filed under: uncultured bacterium
Lineage: Bacteria
Description: bacterial SSU rRNA
Rfam family: Bacterial small subunit ribosomal RNA
Source: RNAcentral